CCUACGGGAGGCAGCAGUGAGGAAUAUUGGUCAAUGGGCUUACGCCUGAACCAGCCAAGUCGCGUGAGGGAAGACUGCCCUAUGGGUUGUAAACCUCUUUUGUCAGGGAGCAACGCCGGCUACGUGUAGCCGGACUGAGAGCACCUGCAGAAAAAGCAGCGGCUAACUCCGUGCCAGCGGCCGCGGUAAUACGGAGGAUGCGAGCGUUAUCCGGAUUUAUUGGGUUAAAAGGGUGCGUAGGCGGAAUGCCAAGUCAGCGGUAAAAUCGCGGGGCUCAACCUCGCUCCGCCGUUGAAACUGGCGUUCUUGAGUGGGCGAGAAGUAUGCGGAAUGCGUGGUGUAGCGGUGAAAUGCAUAGAUAUCACGCAGAACCCCGAUUGUGAAGGCAGCAUGCCGGCUUCCGACUGACGCUGAGGCACGAAAGCGUGGGGAUCGAACAGGAUUAGAUACCCUUGUAGUC
Molecule: ribosomal RNA, 460 nt
Filed under: uncultured bacterium
Lineage: Bacteria
Description: partial 16S ribosomal RNA
Rfam family: Bacterial small subunit ribosomal RNA
Source: RNAcentral